AGGGGAUUGAAAAUCCCCG
This 19-nucleotide transfer RNA is filed under the name Mycolicibacterium smegmatis MC2 155. Its description in RNAcentral is "tRNA-Phe anticodon stem from Mycolicibacterium smegmatis MC2 155 (PDB 5O5J, chain W)". The record is from RNAcentral. Lineage: Bacteria; Bacillati; Actinomycetota; Actinomycetes; Mycobacteriales; Mycobacteriaceae.